This 1280-nucleotide long non-coding RNA is filed under the name Hordeum vulgare. RNAcentral describes it as "long non-coding RNA (HVUL_LNC003827)". Lineage: Eukaryota; Viridiplantae; Streptophyta; Magnoliopsida; Poales; Poaceae. The record is from RNAcentral.
UCAUCUAUGUGAUGUAGUCUCUGGGCUCGCCUCCGAGUGGUUGAAGAGCACAACACCCAGUGGGCUGUGGUAGUCCUAUGUUAUCUCUCAUACUUGAAGAGCAUUUCCGAUGGUUGAAGAACGUUACCGGUAGUCUCUCGUGCUUGGUCACAAUACGUACUUGCAAAAAGGUGAAGNNNNNNNNNNCUGGAGAACGUUACCGGUAGUAUGGAGGUAGUCUCUCGUGCUUGGUCACAAUACGUACUUGCAAAAAGGUGAAGAAAAUAACAACGAUCAUGUCAACCGGCAACAUCAAACGAUAAUUACCAUGAAACAUAUUUUGGUUACGAGUAGUUAUUGCUGAACCAAAAACAUUUGAAAUUUUGAAAGCAUGGAUGCAAUGCAGUGUAUGUAGAUUACAUGUGCGUUACAACUGAAGUUGUGACAUCUGAUGAUGUUUGCAUCACGUUCUUGCCACAUACGUCAAGAACAAGCCAUAUUUUAUCGGAACCAUUGAGUAAGUAAGAGAAAACUAAUAAUAAUAUGUGAUGCAGCAACGGUUACCAUAUCAAAUCUCUUGAACUAAUACAAAUAUAGUCCUGAUCACACAUUAGAUCUUAGAACUGUUUUAGGCUUUUAUUUAAAUUCAGGCAUCUUAACCGAGUGCACUCAACAAUAGUAGUACACUAAAUACUUGGAAUUUUCUUGCGAAGGCCGAGUAAAACAUAAAAUCCAAACCAUAGUAUGAUUUCAUCUUAUCUGGUGGUUUGGUAGUGCGACUAUUAAUGUGAUCCAUCUUUAGAUCAAUAAAUUCCAUUUUUGGUCUUAACCUACAAACAAAGAUUGUUCCAUAAGUAUCGCAGCCGUCAAUCAUAGGAGAAUCUAAGAGUGUACAAGUAUAUAUACAGAAAAUGGAAUCUACCUUUAAAGUUGAUCUUGCAGAUCCCUAUUUUUCGCCAAUUCAUGUCAUAUUGUGCGCAUCCAUGAUGACCUCAAGGUAAGAUAUUUGCACAAACCUUCCCACUCACUCGCUAUAUUCUACCUGUCAAUGAAAACAGACCUUACUUAUCACAGAAGAAAAUGGGAAACCUAACUACGACAUGUAUGCUAAGUCGCUUCCCAUAGAGACAAUACUACAAUGGCUCAAUGCCUCAAUGCCUGAAGCUCUCUCUUUUAGGAGAUUUUACAGUAAAGAAUACAAGCUGCCACUGAACACAAGGAGUCAGCAAGAAUAUUUAGUGUCAGAGAGAUGUCUAGAGCACCUAUGUUAAUGUUGCCCAUACAGUUGAUUUACCUCUCAC